UAGCGGCGAUGGGUGAGUAACACGUACUCAACGUACUCCUUAGAUUGGGAUAGCGAACGGAAACGUUCGAUAAUACCAAAUACUUAUUAGUUUCGCAUGAAACUUAUAUAAAAGGAGCCUUUAAAGCUCCGCUGAGAGAUCGGGGUGCGCAACAUUAGCUAGUUGGUGAGGUAACGGCCCACCAAGGCGAUGAUGUUUAGCGGGGUUGAGAGACUGAACCGCCACACUGGGACUGAGAUACGGCCCAGACUCCUACGGGAGGCAGCAGUAGGGGAAUAUUCACAAUGAGCGAAAGCUUGAUGGAGCGACACAGCGUGCAGGAUGAAGGUCCUAUGGAUUGUAAACUGCUGUGGUAAGGGAAGAAAAAGUCAUAGAGGAAAUGCUAUGACAUUGACGGUACCUUAUUAGAAAGCAACGGCUAACUAUGUGCCAGCAGCCGCGGUAAUACAUAGGUUGCAAGCGUUAUCCGGAAUUAUUGGGCGUAAAGCGUCUGUAGGUUGUUUGUUAAGUCUGGCGUCAAAUUUUGGGGCUCAACCCCAAACCGCGUUGGAUACUGGCAAACUAGAGUUGUGUAGAGGUUAGCGGAAUUCCUUGUGAAGCGGUGAAAUGCGUAGAUAUAAGGAAGAACACCAUUUUGGCGAAGGCGGCUAACUGGGCAUAUACUGACACUGAGAGACGAAAGCGUGGGGAGCAAACAGGAUUAGAUACCCUGGUAGUCCACGCCCUAAACGAUGAUCAUUAGCUGAUGGAGAAUUCGUCGGCGCAGCUAACGCAUUAAAUGAUCCGCCUGAGUAGUACGUUCGCAAGAAUAAAACUUAAAGGAAUUGACGGGGAUCCGCACAAGCGGUGGAGCAUGUGGUUUAAUUUGAAGAUACGCGUAGAACCUUACCCACUCUUGACAUCUUCUGCAAAGCUA
Molecule: ribosomal RNA, 916 nt
Filed under: uncultured Mycoplasma sp.
Lineage: Bacteria; Bacillati; Mycoplasmatota; Mollicutes; Mycoplasmatales; Mycoplasmataceae
Description: bacterial SSU rRNA
Rfam family: Bacterial small subunit ribosomal RNA
Source: RNAcentral